Molecule: ribosomal RNA, 812 nt
Filed under: uncultured bacterium
Lineage: Bacteria
Description: bacterial SSU rRNA
Rfam family: Bacterial small subunit ribosomal RNA
Source: RNAcentral
AGAGUUUGAUCCUGGCUCAGAAUUAACGCUGGCGGCAUGCGUAACACAUGCAAGUCGCACGAGAAAGCCCGGUUCGCCGGGCGAGUAAAGUGGCGCACGGGUGAGUAACGCGUGGGUAAUCUACCUCUUUCCGGGAGAUAACACACCGAAAGGUGUGCUAAUACCGCAUACUCCGGUGUGACUUCGGUCAUAUCGGCAAAGGUGGCCUCUACAUGUAAGCUACCGGAGGGAGAUGAGCCCGCGUCCCAUUAGCUAGUUGGUGAGGUAAAGGCUCACCAAGGCGACGAUGGGUAGCUGGUCUGAGAGGACGGCCAGCCACACUGGAACUGGAACACGGUCCAGGCUCCUACGGGAGGCAGCAGUGAGGAAUAUUGCGCAAUGGGGGAAACCCUGACGCAGCGAUGCCGCGUGGGUGAAGAAGGCCUUCGGGUCGUAAAGCCCUGUCAGGCGGGAAGAACAGCUUUGGGGCUAAUAUCCUCAGAGUCUGACGGUACCGCUGAAGGAAGCACCGGCUAACUCCGUGCCAGCAGCCGCGGUAAGACGGAGGGUGCAAGCGUUAUUCGGAUUUAUUGGGCGUAAAGAGCGCGUAGGCGGUUUAUCAAGUCAGAUGUGAAAGCCCUGGGCUCAACCUGGGAAGUGCAUUUGAAACUAGUAGACUUGAGUAUGGGAGAGGGGAGUGGAAUUCCUGGUGUAGAGGUGAAAUUCGUAGAUAUCAGGAGGUACACCGGUGGCGAAGGCGACUUCCUGGACCAAUACUGACGCUGAGGCGCGAAGGCGUGGGGAGCAAACAGGAUUAGAUACCCUGGUAGUCC